GGGGGGAUUUGGGAACCCCCAGCCCCAAAUUCUGCGGCAGCGGGGGCUGGGCUGGAUCAGGCACUUCUGGGCACUGCGGGGAGGGGACAGGGACGGACAGAGGGACGGACAGGGAUGGACAGAGGGAUGGACAGGGAUGGAUGGGAUGGACAGGGAGGGACAGAGAGAGGGACACAGGGAUGGACAGAGGGAUGGACACAGGAUGGACACAGGGAUGGACAGGGAUGGACAGAGGGAUGGACACAGGAUGGACAGAGGGAUGGACACAGGGAUGGACACAGGAUGGACGCUGCAUCCACAGCCCUGCUGUCCCAUCCCGCUGUCCCAGCCCUGCCCUGUCCCCAGCCCCGGGUGCCCACAC
This 361-nucleotide long non-coding RNA is filed under the name Zonotrichia albicollis (white-throated sparrow). RNAcentral's name for it is "lncRNA (ENSZALG00000001258.1)". The record is from RNAcentral. Lineage: Eukaryota; Metazoa; Chordata; Aves; Passeriformes; Passerellidae.